UCCGAGUUGUAAUUUGCAGAGGGCGCUUUGGUGUUGGCAGCGGUCCAAGUUCCUUGGAACAGGACGUCACAGAGGGUGAGAAUCCCGUACGUGGUCGCUAGCCUUCGCCGUGUAAAGCCCCUUCGACGAGUCGAGUUGUUUGGGAAUGCAGCUCUAAAUGGGAGGUAAAUUUCUUCUAAAGCUAAAUACUGGCCAGAGACCGAUAGCGCACAAGUAGAGUGAUCGAAAGAUGAAAAGCACUUUGGAAAGAGAGUCAAAUAGCACGUGAAAUUGUUGAAAGGGAAGCGCUUGCAGCCAGACUUGCCUGUAGUUGCUCAUCUGGGCUUUUGCCCGGUGCAUUCUUCUGCAGGCAGGCCAGCAUCAGUUUGGGCGGUUGGAUAAAGGUCUCUGUCAUGUACCUCUCUUCGGGGAGGCCUUAUAGGGGAGACGUCAUGCAACCAGCCUGGACUGAGGUCCGCGCAUUUGCUAGGAUGCUGGCGUAAUGGCUGUAAGCGGCCCGUCUUGAAACACGGACCAAGGAGUCUAACAUCUAUGCGAGUGUUUGGGUGUCAAGCCCGAGCGCGUAAUGAAAGUGAACGGAGGUGGGAACCCUUUGGGUGCACCAUCGACCGAUCCUGAUGUCUUCGGAAGGAUUUGAGUAAGAGCAUGGCUGUUGGGACCCGAAAGAUGGUGAACUAUGCUUGAAUAGGGU
Molecule: ribosomal RNA, 691 nt
Filed under: Sphaerellopsis paraphysata
Lineage: Eukaryota; Fungi; Ascomycota; Dothideomycetes; Pleosporales; Leptosphaeriaceae
Description: partial large subunit ribosomal RNA
Rfam family: Eukaryotic large subunit ribosomal RNA
Source: RNAcentral